This 2034-nucleotide ribosomal RNA is filed under the name Triticum aestivum (bread wheat). RNAcentral describes it as "partial small subunit ribosomal RNA". The record is from RNAcentral. Lineage: Eukaryota; Viridiplantae; Streptophyta; Magnoliopsida; Poales; Poaceae.
AUGGCGGCCUCGAUGAUGCUGCUCCUCCGCGCCGCGCGCCGCCGCGACCUCGCCUCGCCGCUCGCCACCCUGACCGCCAACGUCCAAUCAACAUAUGCUGCUGCAAAUGUGUGCUCCAGAUGGGGUAGUUUUGCAAGAGCUUUCAGUGCAAAGCCAAUUGGAAAUGAGGUUAUUGGAAUUGAUUUGGGAACGACCAAUUCAUGUGUCGCGGUUAUGGAGGGAAAGAAUGCAAAGGUGAUUGAGAAUUCGGAAGGCGCCAGGACUACACCGUCAGUUGUUGCCUUUUCUCAGAAAGGAGAGCUACUUGUGGGAACUCCAGCCAAGCGUCAAGCAGUGACCAACCCGCAGAACACCUUCUUUGGCACAAAGCGUAUGAUUGGGCGGCGCUUCGAUGACCCGCAGACACAGAAGGAGAUGAACAUGGUACCAUAUAAGAUCGUGAAGGCUCCGAAUGGAGACGCUUGGGUUGAGACCACAGACGGCAAGCAGUACUCGCCGAGCCAGAUUGGUGGGUUUGUGCUGACCAAGAUGAAGGAGACAGCUGAAGCUUACCUUGGCAAGUCUAUUUCCAAGGCUGUCAUUACCGUUCCAGCUUACUUCAAUGAUGCUCAGAGGCAGGCCACCAAGGAUGCUGGCCGUAUUGCUGGACUUGAUGUCCAAAGGAUCAUCAAUGAACCAACUGCUGCUGCUCUGUCUUACGGAACAAACAACAAGGAGGGCCUGAUUGCUGUAUUUGACCUUGGAGGAGGGACCUUUGAUGUCUCGAUUCUAGAGAUCUCCAAUGGAGUGUUUGAGGUCAAAGCAACGAACGGCGACACUUUCCUGGGUGGAGAAGACUUUGACAAUACUCUGUUGGAGUUCUUAGUGAGGGAGUACAAAAACACUGAAAAUAUUGAUCUGUCAAAGGAUAGGUUGGCUCUGCAGAGACUGCGUGAAGCAGCUGAGAAGGCGAAAAUCGAACUCUCCUCGACUACCCAGACUGAAAUCAAUCUUCCCUUCAUCACUGCUGAUGCCGGUGGAGCAAAACAUCUGAACAUCACACUGACAAGAUCAAAGUUCGAGUCUCUGGUGAACAGUCUGAUUGAGAGGACCAGAGAGCCAUGCAAGAGCUGCUUGAAGGAUGCCGGCAUAACCACCAAGGAUGUUGAUGAGGUCCUUCUCGUCGGUGGAAUGACAAGGGUUCCAAAAGUGCAGGAGAUAGUCUCUGAGAUCUUCGGCAAGGCCCCUAGCAAAGGAGUCAACCCGGAUGAAGCUGUGGCCAUGGGUGCUGCUAUCCAGGGUGGCAUUCUCCGUGGAGAUGUGAAGGAGCUUCUUCUCCUUGAUGUUACCCCUCUGUCACUUGGUAUCGAGACUCUUGGCGGCAUCUUCACCAGACUGAUUUCCAGGAACACUACAAUCCCCACCAAGAAAAGCCAGGUGUUCUCAACCGCUGCUGACAACCAGACGCAAGUGGGCAUCAAGGUGCUGCAAGGCGAGCGCGAGAUGGCAACAGACAACAAGCUCCUGGGCGAGUUCGACCUGGUGGGCAUCCCGCCGGCGCCGAGGGGCACGCCGCAGGUGGAGGUGACGUUCGACAUCGACGCGAACGGCAUCGUGACGGUGUCGGCCAAGGACAAGGCGACGGGCAAGGAGCAGCAGAUCACCAUCCGGUCGUCGGGCGGGCUGUCGGAGGCGGAGAUCCAGAAGAUGGUGCAGGAGGCGGAGGUGCACUCGCACAAGGACCAGGAGCGCAAGGCCCUGAUCGACGUGCGGAACGCCGCGGACACCACCGUCUACAGCGUGGAGAAGAGCCUGGGCGAGUACCGGGACAAGGUCCCCGCAGAGGUGGUGUCGGAGAUCGAGGCGGCCGUCGCGGAGCUCCGCGCCGAGAUGGCCUCGGACGACGCCGAGAAGAUCAAGGCCAAGAUCGACGCGGCCAACAGGGCCGUGUCCAAGAUCGGGCAGCACAUGUCUGGCGGCGGUGAGCCGGGGUCGCAGGGUGGUGGUGGUGGUGGCGAGGCGCCGGAGGCGGAGUACGAGGAGGUGAAGAAGUGA